AACGAACGCUGGCGGCGUGGAUAAGACAUGCAAGUCGAGCGGGACACUUCGGGUAGCAAUAUUCGGAGUGUUCAGCGGCGCAAGGGUGCGUAACACGUGGGUAAUCUGCCGUGAAGCCUGGAAUAACUCGCUGAAAGGCGAGCUAAUACCGGAUGUGAAGUUUGGAAGGCAUUCUUUUGGACUUCAAAGCGUGGGGACCGUAAGGCCUGGCACUUCACGAUGAGCCCGCGGCCUAUCAGCUAGUUGGUGAGGUAACGGCUCACCAAGGCUAAGACGGGUAGCUGGUCUGAGAGGACGACCAGCCACACUGGAACUGAGACACGGUCCAGACACCGUACGGGUGGCAGCAGUCGAGUAAUUUUUCACAAU
This 369-nucleotide ribosomal RNA is filed under the name uncultured bacterium. Its description in RNAcentral is "bacterial SSU rRNA". It matches the Rfam family "Bacterial small subunit ribosomal RNA", at positions 29 to 372 of the family's 1533-position model. The record is from RNAcentral.